Molecule: ribosomal RNA, 404 nt
Filed under: uncultured bacterium
Lineage: Bacteria
Description: bacterial SSU rRNA
Rfam family: Bacterial small subunit ribosomal RNA
Source: RNAcentral
UGGGGAAUAUUGCACAAUGGGGGAAACCCUGAUGCAGCGACGCCGCGUGAAGGAGGAAGUAUUUCGGUAUGUAAACUUCUAUCAGCAGGGAAGAAGAUGACGGUACCUGACGAAGAAGCUCCGGCUAAAUACGUGCCAGCAGCCGCGGUAAUACGUAUGGAGCAAGCGUUAUCCGGAUUUACUGGGUGUAAAGGGAGCGCAGGCGGCAUGCCAAGCCAGAAGUGAAAAUCCGGGGCUCAACCCCGGAAGUGCUUUUGGAACUGGCAGGCUGGAGUGCAGGAGAGGCAGGCGGAAUUCCUAGUGUAGCGGUGAAAUGCGUAGAUAUUAGGAGGAACACCAGUGGCGAAGGCGGCCUGCUGGACUGUAACUGACGCUGAGGCUCGAAAGCGUGGGGAGCAAACAGG